Molecule: ribosomal RNA, 166 nt
Filed under: Piper arieianum
Lineage: Eukaryota; Viridiplantae; Streptophyta; Magnoliopsida; Piperales; Piperaceae
Description: 5.8S ribosomal RNA
Rfam family: 5.8S ribosomal RNA
About the family: 5.8S ribosomal RNA (5.8S rRNA) is a component of the large subunit of the eukaryotic ribosome. It is transcribed by RNA polymerase I as part of the 45S precursor that also contains 18S and 28S rRNA.
Source: RNAcentral
AUACGACUCUCGGCAACGGAUAUCUCGGCUCUCGCAUCGAUGAAGAACGUAGCGAAAUGCGAUACUUGGUGUGAAUUGCAGAAUCCCGUGAACCAUCGAGUCUUUGAACGCAAGUUGCGCCCAAGGCCUUUCGGCCGAGGGCACAUCUGCUUGGGCGUUAAACAAC